Molecule: long non-coding RNA, 412 nt
Filed under: Nicotiana tabacum (common tobacco)
Lineage: Eukaryota; Viridiplantae; Streptophyta; Magnoliopsida; Solanales; Solanaceae
Description: long non-coding RNA (NTAB_LNC003550)
Source: RNAcentral
CCCUACCUAUCUUCCGAAGAUAAGAACACUUGUUUCUGGUAGACACUCAGUCAAGAAAAGUUUAGCUAUUUCUAUCACCAAAUAACCAGUGGACCAUAUGCACACACUACAAUAAUUACUUCUAUUUUUCCUUUUAUUCUUUUUGAAAUAUCAAACCUUUAUGAUGGAAUUGCUAAUAAUUAUGCUGUAUGGUUGUAACAGGAUGUGGAUUACUCAAGAGAUGUCAACCAGAUGAGAUAUCAUCAGGGAUAAGAUCUGAGAUGUGACAUAAGAAUUGACCUUUAUGGGCCACUUGAAAUGUCAAAAACAAGCACAAAAAAAAAGGGAAAGAAAACUUGAAAAUCCCAGAUUUUCUGGCAACUUGCUCUCCUGAGAAAAGGUGGUGUAUAUCAACUUCCACACCUCUGAAUUC